GACCUCAAAUCAGGUAG
This 17-nucleotide ribosomal RNA is filed under the name Schizophyllum commune. Its description in RNAcentral is "partial 28S ribosomal RNA". Lineage: Eukaryota; Fungi; Basidiomycota; Agaricomycetes; Agaricales; Schizophyllaceae. The record is from RNAcentral. RNAcentral also lists the same sequence under 6 other names.